AGGGUAGCCUGACCGACCAAGGGGGGACGGGCCUAACCGACCGGUUAGGUGGUCAAUGACUGGGGUG
Molecule: ribosomal RNA, 67 nt
Filed under: uncultured bacterium
Lineage: Bacteria
Description: partial 16S ribosomal RNA
Source: RNAcentral